UUAGAUGAUUAGUCAACACAAGGGAAAGACUUGAGUUACUUCCAACAGGGGUCUAUUCGUCAGUCAAAACGUUAAUCUUGAAGGAGCAAAGGUUUGUUCAUGAGCUGUCAUGCUCGCUAGGCAUUGAGUUACUUCCAACAGGGGUCUAUUCGUCAGUCAAAACGUUAAUCUUGAAGGAGCAAAGGUUUGUUCAUGAGCUGUCAUGCUCGCUAGGCGAAGCCCACGUGUUUUGAAAAAAAAAAACGAAAAAAAAAAAUUUAAAUAAAUAAAAAAU
Molecule: long non-coding RNA, 274 nt
Filed under: Lathyrus oleraceus (garden pea)
Lineage: Eukaryota; Viridiplantae; Streptophyta; Magnoliopsida; Fabales; Fabaceae
Description: Pisum sativum (pea) long non-coding RNA (PSAT_LNC029535)
Source: RNAcentral